This 253-nucleotide ribosomal RNA is filed under the name uncultured bacterium. RNAcentral describes it as "partial 16S ribosomal RNA". It matches the Rfam family "Bacterial small subunit ribosomal RNA", at positions 524 to 776 of the family's 1533-position model. The record is from RNAcentral.
GACAGAGGGUGCAAACGUUGUUCGGAAUUACUGGGCGUAAAGCGAGUGUAGGCGGUUUCCUAAGUCAGGUGUGAAAGCCCCGGGCUCAACCCGGGAAGUGCACUUGAAACUGGGAGGCUAGAGUAUCGGAGAGGUUGGUGGAAUUCUCGGUGUAGAGGUGAAAUUCGUAGAUAUUCGGAAGAACACCAGUGGCGAAGGCGACUUACUGGACACAUAUUGACGCUGAGGUGCGAAAGCGUGGGGAGCAAACAGG